This 231-nucleotide ribosomal RNA is filed under the name uncultured bacterium. RNAcentral's name for it is "partial 16S ribosomal RNA". It matches the Rfam family "Bacterial small subunit ribosomal RNA", at positions 118 to 347 of the family's 1533-position model. The record is from RNAcentral.
UGAGUAACCUGCCCUUCACUCUGGGAUAACUCCGGGAAACCGGGGCUAAUACUGGAUAUGACUCGAACAGGCAUCUGUUUCGGGUGGAAAGAUUUAUUGGUGGAGGAUGGACUCGCGGCCUAUCAGCUUGUUGGUGAGGUAAUGGCUCACCAAGGCGACGACGGGUAGCCGGCCUGAGAGGGCGAUCGGCCACACUGGGACUGAGACACGGCCCAGACUCCUGCGGGAGNA